Molecule: long non-coding RNA, 1255 nt
Filed under: Homo sapiens (human)
Lineage: Eukaryota; Metazoa; Chordata; Mammalia; Primates; Hominidae
Description: HSALNT0302087
Source: RNAcentral
GCCACUGCGCCUGGCCCACCUUUAUGUUUUCCAGACUCUCUGGCCUCUGUCUGGAACCUUCCUGACCUUGUGAGUCUCCCCAAGAGGCAGACUCUAGGCACCAGGCCUCACUUUCCCAGCCUCCCUUGCAGUUGCUGCAGGCUUGUGACCUGGCUCAGCCAAUCAGACACACACAUUCAGCAACCCUGACUCAGGCAGAAGACACAAAGAAGCAGAGAUGGAGUGCAUCUGCCCCAAGUGGAGGCAGCAGCAGCAGCAGGAGGGAGGUGUCGGGGCAGUGGGGCCGCAGGGCCAGUCCUCAGGUUCAGCUUGGUUGUGACCUCUGCUAGAAGCCCUCCCUGGCCUCCCUGUGCACUGAGCUGGUGGUUCCUCCUUUGCGCCCCAGGUACAUGCUCAGAUCUGUGUACCCUACACUUUGUCCUCCAGCUUCGUGUUUGGAUGUUCACAACUCCCAUGAGAAGGGCCCCCGAGAGCUGGCACAGUGCAUGUGUUUCCUCUCCAGACUUCUACAAACCUGGCACAUAAUUGUUUGCUGAAAGAUGGCAUGUUCCUAAAACAGAGGAAGUAGAACCGAAUAAAGCGAAAUCCAACUUCCCACUCCCUGCUCUCACUUCCUCUGGGACAGGCCUUGAGCAAGAGAGACAAAAAGAACAAGAGAUGAUCUUUCCCUUUAAUGGGAUUUCAGUCUGAUCAGGGAGAUAGUAACAGAAAGACUAGACUAGACUAGUGUAUGAUUAAAUGACAUUUGCCAUCCCCAGAAGAGGGAGAGACCUGCAUGGAACAGGGUGGUCAAGGCAGGCUUCCUGGAGGAGGCAAAGACUUAGAUUUAACAGUACCAGAGCUCCAGGAUAGAUCCUCCUCUGACUGAACUCCCUAUUUCUUUCUCCCACCCCAACCUUCCCGGGUCCCCAGCUGAAGGGAUACGUGUGUGUGUGUGUGUACAUGUGCCUGCACACAUGUACACAUGUGGUUAGAAAGGGGGUAUUAGUAUCUCUCUCCUAGGAUGGAGUCUCAAGGACAGGCCCAUCAUCUCCUCAGUUUGCCCCUCUCUCUCCCACUUCACCUAGGGAAUGGAAUAAGAAUGGGAUAAGUAUAACACAAUGAGACGAAUGCAGAACCAACUAGAUGUACACCCAACAAUGUGGAUGAACCUUAAAACAGUGCUGCCUGAAGAAGGCAAGAAACAGAAUGAAAUCUGCAGCACAUCAUUCAUAUAAACUAAAAAUACAUGCACAGAGAAAGGCCACUUUUUUUU